RNAcentral lists this long non-coding RNA (6886 nucleotides) under Homo sapiens (human). Its description in RNAcentral is "HSALNT0154626". Lineage: Eukaryota; Metazoa; Chordata; Mammalia; Primates; Hominidae. The record is from RNAcentral.
AGCAACUGUCCAUUUGGAUUCUGGGGUGGAAACUGUUUUCUCUGUUUUCUGACCUUUGCUAUGGGUUACAGGUUGAAGGCUUGAAGGUUUUCAGGUGUUUGUAGCAGAAUAUUAAGGCAAAGAUCAGGAGAGUAUCUUGUUCCGAAGAAGGCAAGCAGCAAAUGUGGCACGUGAAGACUUCAAAAACUCUUGCAUGCCAAGCCUUUCCUUUAGGCGCUGGGCAGGAGUUAGUGCUGUAGGGGGUGACUUCCUCCUAGGAGCCAGCCUGUCAACUUCCAGGCCUUUUUUGUGUGACAUCUGCUCUAGCAGCCAGGAGCUGGGUCACAAGCUUCCUUUUUGUCAUGCUUCUGUGCAGGGUGGUCCAGAGGCAAUAGGAAGAGGAACAAGGGAGGGAGAAUACUGUGUAUGCAGAGUUUGAGUGAUGUCUUCAGGGCUUGGAAAAAUGUAAUUCUGUUUGAGCAGUUUGCAGGCAGUUUUGCAACUCAUCCCCCUGAAUUAGGGACCAAAUGAAGUCAUUAGGCCCUAAUUAAAAGCAGCUAAUCAGAAGUCAGUGGGAGCUCUACCAAUUAAUCGCGGCUGGAACCCAACAAGCUGAAGUACCCAAGGCUGGAUGAAUAAAAGUAAUGAAAUUAGUAUCAGUGCUGUGCAGUACUGCACAACUUCAAGAACAGGUUAUGGGCUGCUCAGCUCUUCCUGCCAUAUCACAAAUAGAGGCUCAUUGUCAAAACAUAGAUGAGUUGGGAAGCAGCUUUUGAGCUUGCCCUGAGCUUUUUGUAAGUCAAGAUGUGUGUAAGCCAGAGUCAAAAGUGGAAUCAUGAAAAAAACAGAUGAAAGGUGAUUUUUUAAGGUGUGAUAAUAUGACCGAAAUAUCUCUUUCACAGCUUGUAAAUAAUUUAUACCCAGAUUCUUUGUUGAUGUCCUAUUCUUUAUUCUUUCGCCUAAAUUGCAAAGACAAGAGAUUGUUUCAGGUGAGUCUCUUGUCCUGUACUCAGCACCACACCUGGUGCAAGGUAACUGCUAAAUAAACAGCAUUUAUUUAAUUAAUUUGGGUCAGAGAAAAAAUUUGAACUGAGAUUUUUUUAAUUCCAAAUUUUGCACACCUUUUCCUAUACGACUUAAGCAGAAGGAUUCAGUGCCCUUUUCUAAUCAAAAUAACAAUUGUUACCUGCUAGCAGUUUUUGGUCCAGAAAUGUUCACGUACUUUGGAUUACAGCUUUAAGAUCUUAGAAAACAGAACCUCAUGUCCAAAAUUUAAUUUCACAGGUGAAGAGACAAGGGCCAGGGAGUGAGAGGAAUUUGUCCUAGGUCCCCCAGCAAAUUUGUGGCAGAGAUAAGACUAGAGCCGAUGUCCUGACUCAAGGUUCAAUUGUUUCCCUCAGCACUUGGCCCUUUGCUUUCAGUAUUAGCAGUCGUCCUUUUUAUUUUAUUUUAUAUUAACUUCAGGGAUACACGUGCAGGAUGCGCAGGUUUGUUACAUAGGUAAACGUGUGCCAUGGUGGUUUGCUGCACCUGUCAAUCCAUCAUCUAGAUAUUAAGCCUAGCAUGCAUUAGCUAUUUUUCCUCAUGCUCUCCCUCCCCCUGCCCCCCACCCACCCAACAACAGGCCCCAGUGUGUGUUGUUCCCUGCCCUGUGUCCAUGUGUUCAGCUCCCACUUAAAAGUGAGAACAUGCGGUGUUUGGUUUUCUGUUUCUGUGUUAGUUUGCUGAGUAUAAUGGCUCCAUCCUUGUCCCUGCAAAGGACAUGUCCUUGUUCCUUUUUAAGCAGUCAUCCUUAUUAAGUGUUAUCUUUUUGUCCUCUGAGAUUUCUAGAGCUAUUAGUCUGUCUAAAUUGAGGCCAAUUAAAGAAUUGCAAAAGUGUUUCUAGAGUCUUUGUUGGUGGCCAGGGCAGUUAGUCUGGGACACGAGGGAGGCAGGAGCCAUCUAGGGCAGAGGGAUUGUCUGCACUAGGACAGCUCUGUUAAAAAGGAGGACUUUUUUGUUUAUGGGAAGAUUUCCAUAAAGAUGAUCUUCUGAGUGAAGGCUGGGCUUUAAGACGAAAUGAGAGACAGUGUUGGUGGAAGAAGAGAACUUAAGGCCAGAAGUUGUGUGUGUGUGUGUGUGUGUGUGUGUAUAAUUAUGCCUGAAUAUGUUUUAUUUAUUAUAGUCUAUGUGUGAUUUUGUAUUUGAAAGUAGAUGCUUGAUUCUACCACAAUUAAAAAAAGGAUAUGCUUGGAUUUGUCUGUAGUAUGUGGGUGUGGAGGAGUUCAUUUGAACACGGGCAUUUUUGUGUGUCCAGGACGUAUCAACAGCCUCCUUAGAGGUGUCAUAUGUGCAGGGAAUACUGAAGAGAGUGCAUUAGUCUACAUGUCUCUCUAUAUAUUUUUUCUUUUUGUGUGUGUCUGGUUUUCCUAGAUUUCUCUCUUGCAUGUUUGUGGGUAUGAGAGUCUGUUAGUAUUAAUAUGUGAAUGGGUGUGUGCUAUUUGUCUGGGGAGGAUGAUUUAGGCAAGGAUUUGAAAGUGUGCAUUUAGAAAUUGAGGGCAUCUCUGUGUUAUUAUGAGUGUAUGUGUGUUUGUGUGUGCAUUUUAGAGUGGUUGGUUAUCUGUGUGUAUUUGCAAGGAGAAGGGGAAUUCAGUGUGUUUCUGUGUUUGUGUGUUUGUUUGUGAAUGGUAUGUUUUGCAGAGGAGUGUACUUUUUAUGUUCGAAAGUUAGGCAAUCAUGUAAUUUAUCAUCCAAAUGGGGAUACAUUUGAGAAUGAAAUAUAUAUGUGUGUGAAAGGAUGUCUUUGAAUGUACUUUUAAAAAUGCAUUUAAUUUUGUGUGUGUUAUUGGUGUCAGGAAUUAAGAAAAAGAAGAGAAGUACAGGAGAUAUCAUUAAAUUAUAUAGUUCUCUCUUCGACUGUAGCCUUAUAACAGGGACAUUAAUAGAAUUAACAGGUAAGAACAGGUCAGCCCCAAAGAUGUGUGCGUGUGUGUGUGUGUGUGUGUGUGUGUGUUACCAGAUCAAUGAACUGAGAAAAGAGGUCAUACAUAUCUUGUGGCGACAAAAACCCAUAUGGUUAAAAAAAAAUCAGCACAGUAAGUAAGGGAAGAAAUGUGAACUACAUUGUGCUAGAAAGUGUCUUUUAUGUACAACAUCUGCUUUGCUAUGUCCUCUUUAUGCUUCCUGCCUUGUUCCCCAUGAGUAACUCUGGCUUGUGAUGGCCAAGAUAGCUGAGACCUUUCAUUCUCUUACCUCCAAAGUUUGGAAAAAUAACUCAGUGUGACCUCCAUCAGGUAAGAGAAAGAAAGAGGCUAGGGAGAGUUGGCUGCUUCAUUUCAGGUGAGUCAGAAAAGAAAUCCCAGGGAUGCUCCUAGUAGUCUCACUCUUUUUCAGAGUGUAGCUUCUGACUCCCUGGUUUAUACAUGCACCCCCUGGGGUUGGGAAAUUCACUUGCUUAGUUCUCACUGGCUUUGUGGGAUGUAGUGAAGAGACUAGAAUGUUACUGCUUCUACUCUACCAUGUCGGUGUAGCAGUUUCUCAGUGGCUUCAUCCCCCAGUCAUCCCUUUUUUAUGUGCACUCUAUAUGCUCAUCGCAGUGGAAUGACUGCAGUCACUUCUGAAUGUCAUAAUAGUGCUAGUAGCACUGCUAGUAGUACCAGUUGUGUGGUGUAUUGGAGAUGGCCACAAAUUCAUUGUCAACCUCUCAUUGAAAGGUGGAAUCUAAUUGUCUCCCUUGGAAUCUGGGAUGGCUGUCCUACUUAUUUGACCAACAGAAUUUGUCAGAAGGGACUUUCUGUAACUUCUGAAGCUGUCUCAUAAGAAGCCUUGCAGAUUCUGCUCAUGUCUCUUUCCUCUCUGGGAAACAAGUCGCGACUCAGGGAUAAGCCUGAGACACAUGGAGAGAACAUCCUGAUCAAUCUGGUCUUUGCUGCUACCCUGGUCAACAGCCUGAGCUGGAUACCUGGCUGACAAGUACCACCUUUUUCCUACACAGAUGACAACCCAGCCCAUGAGCACCAGGAAAAUUAAACAAAAAGCCGAAAGAAAAAAGAAAAGAAGAAGUCUGGGAGUGAAGUUAUAUGCUUAAAGGCAUGCAUCUAGCAAAUGGCAAAAAAAAUGGAUGAAGACACAAGACUGAUUGUCACUAAAAACCAUGUGGUAUGUUUGAGCAAGCCCUUCUCUAGGGAAGACCCAUAAAAUUUGACUCAUGAAGAGAGAGAAAAAAAUUCAGGAGGCGAAAUUAAUACGGGGAGAAAAUGAAAGAGAUUUAGUGCAGCUAUCAACCGACCAUUGUGCUGUCUUUAAGAGUCUGUUGAAACAACAUAAUAAGAGCUCAUUGACCAGAAUUAGCAACAUGGCCCUUCCUAACUAGAAGGGACCAGAAUGGAUAGUCCUUCUAUGUGUCCAGAAGGAGAGAAGGACCAGAUAUGUGUGAUCAUGUCUCCAUUAUGGGAGAAAAGAGAAUUGAAAAAGAAAGAAGAUCCACAUAGUGUCUGAGGAGCUGAGACAAAAGAAAAGUAAGUCAUCUCAUUGAGUCUCAGUUUCUUCAUCUCUCAAAGAAAGAUGAACAUACCCACUGCACUAAGGGUGUCAUGAAGAUUACAUUAGAAAAAUGCACAUGAUAUCUUUAAAUCUCUUUGCCAAUAGCAAGACAUUUUUAAAAAUGAAAUACUGUUUUAUGAUUGGUGGUUGUUUUACUAUGAAACCAUAAAAUGCUAGAUUUCAUGGGGGUAUACAAGACUUUCUCUGGUAUAGCCUUCCCUUUGGUACGAAAUUUUUUUUCCUAUUUUUUUAAAGCAACCCUAUUAGCUGAAGGUACAAGAAUUUUCAUUACAGAAGAUCCUAAAUGAGAGCAAUGAUCAGAAUUAGCUGGAAAGCCACACACAUGCACAACCUGAUUCAGAAGGAUCAGAGAAGGUUAUUUGCCCCCUUGCAGAUCUAGGGGGCCUGGGGCUUUUACAUGAGCCCCAAAGGAUGCACCAGAUAGAAAAUUGGCAGGAUGACUGGAAAUUUUCAAAAUGCACAGGUCAGUUGCAAAUAAUCUGAUGCUGUUUUUGGGAAACUGCAGGCUAAAAAUAGCCAUGGUUUUCCUGGAUGAGGCAUUAGUUUGAUGUUGGCCUUUGUAACCUGUAUGUUUUUGCCAUCUCUGCUCAGUUCCAAUCAUUUUUACUUCCUUUCACUUUGUGUACCUAUAAGAUUCAGAGUUGUAUUAGAAACAUUCAUACUUUCUUUCAUUGAUAUAUUUAUUCACAUAUCAUUUAUUCACUCAUUCAUUUAUCCAUAUAUCCUUUGCUUUCUUUCCAUGACUUCAUCAAGUUUCUUAUUUAGAGUAUAAACAUUUAUUGAUCACUUUGUUUUCUCUGGGCACUGUAUUAGGCACCAGAGAUUCUAAAGGUGGGGGGAAACAAACUAAACAACAACAACAGCAACAACAACAACAAAUCCUCACAAAAUAACAUGUGCAAUGUCGUGGGGGUGCAGACAAGCACUCAUAAUUACAACAAAUAAUGCAGAGUGCAGUAGGAGUUCAGAAUUUCAACUAGCUUGAGAGUAGAGUGGUACAAGAAGGUUUCUUAGAGGAAGUGGCAGUUGAAGUAAUUCCUGAAGGUAUUGUUCAAGUGGGGAGGGUGGGAAGGGCAUCCUAGGUAAAAGGAACAACAUUUAUGUUGUAAUGAAGCCAAGUUGAAAAGAAAGCCACGUGCAGGCAAGCAAAGCAUGUUUGCCAGAUCUGCAGUUAUUCUAGGAGGCUCUUGUUUAAUGUGUGCCUGAUAUUGUGGAUUUAAUCACUACCUCACAAAUUAUUCUUCAAGAUUCAACUUGAUCAUUUAAACACAGACUCUAACAGAGUUUCUGACUCACACUAGGCACUAGAAAAAUCUUAUUUCUGAACUCUUUGCUGUUGCGUUUUCCCCCUUACCAGUCCCACAGUGCCUUGCAGAAAGUAGCCAUUCAAUGAAGUUACCUCCAAUUUAAUCCUAUCCCUCUCCGCCCAGUCCCAGUUUAACUUCCUUUUCCACCUACAAAGACCCUGAGGGCCAGAAAGAGGGCAGCCUCUUCCCAAGGCCUCCUUGUCUUUUUCUGCUUGAGGAAAUAGCUUGUGGUGUCUCCUUGGCUGUCUGUUUCUCCGCCUCUGGGGAAUCUCCUCUCAUGUAAAUCCUGCAAUUAGAGGCUCUCACCCCCACCACCAGAGCUACAUCUGCCUCCCUAGAUAGGCACCCACUUGAUUAGGAAGAGAUAAUCACAGGGGCUGCUUCAGCCUACAGCUUGGUGAAGACAGGAAGAAAUUCUGAUUAAAUUUGUGGUUUCAAGAGAAGGGCUCCCCCUCUCUCAUCACAUACCAGCUUCCUGUCUGCCUAUACAUUUGGACUCAAGGCGCAAAAUUUUGAUUCGUCAUUUAUUUUUUCAAAAACCAUAGAAAUUAGGCAAUAAAUAGGAAUAUACCUCUUUGGUAGAUGAAGAAUGUGAGCUGUGAGAGAUGAAGCAUUUGACUUAGGUCAUAAUGUUGAUUGCCUAGCAGAGACUUUGGAUUCGAUCACUGAUUAGUUUUAUAUCCUCCAUAAGAGAAAGCAAGAGAAAGUAAGCAAAGCAUUUUUUUCCCUUGAGAUGAUCUAAUUUUGACUUCUGUAUGGGUGUGUGUUUGUACUUAUAUAUAUUAUUAAUUCAAAUUAUAUAUUCAACUUAACUUUUAGAAACAUUAGAAAUAUGUGCAGAAUGUAAGAAAUGCAUAAAGUAGAGGAAAGCCUAAGGAAGAAGCCAAAGUCAUUCAUUAUAUCCAGAGAUACUUCCUGGUUGAUAUAUGACGUGUGUAUGUGUCUAUAUAAAAUGUCUACAUAAUCAGAAUUAUAAUACACAUGUGCACAUAUAGUUAUUUUCUAACUACAUUUUGUAUUGUAAACAUUUCCCCAGGUCAUUAAAUAUUCUUCUAAAA